GUGGGGAAUAUUGGACAAUGGGCGAAAGCCUGAUCCAGCCAUGCCGCGUGUGUGAAGAAGGUCUUCGGAUUGUAAAGCACUUUAAGUUGGGAGGAAGGGCAGUAAGUUAAUACCUUGCUGUUUUGACGUUACCGACAGAAUAAGCACCGGCUAACUUCGUGCCAGCAGCCGCGGUAAUACGAAGGGUGCAAGCGUUAAUCGGAAUUACUGGGCGUAAAGCGCGCGUAGGUGGUUUUGUAAGUUGGAGGUGAAAUCCCCGGGCUCAACCUGGGAACUGCCUCAAAAACUGCAUGACUAGAGUACGUUAGAGGGUAGUGGAAUUUCCUGUGUAGCGGUGAAAUGCGUAGAUAUAGGAAGGAACACCAGUGGCGAAGGCGACUACCUGGACUGAUACUGACACUGAGGUGCGAAAGCGUGGGGAGCAAACAGGAUUAGAAACCCGUGUAGUCC
Molecule: ribosomal RNA, 450 nt
Filed under: uncultured bacterium
Lineage: Bacteria
Description: bacterial SSU rRNA
Rfam family: Bacterial small subunit ribosomal RNA
Source: RNAcentral